Molecule: ribosomal RNA, 526 nt
Filed under: uncultured bacterium
Lineage: Bacteria
Description: bacterial SSU rRNA
Rfam family: Bacterial small subunit ribosomal RNA
Source: RNAcentral
GACGAACGCUGGCGGCGUGCCUAAUACAUGCAAGUCGAACGCCUUUAUUCUCACCGGAGCUUGCUCCACCGGGAAUAAAGGAGUGGCGGACGGGUGAGUAACACGUGGGUAACCUACCCAUCAGCGGGGGAUAACACUUGGAAACAGGUGCUAAUACCGCAUAAUUCCUUUUACCGCAUGGUAAAAGGCUGAAAGGCGCUUCUGGUGUCACUGAUGGAUGGACCCGCGGUGCAUUAGCUAGUCGGUGGGGUAAUGGCCUACCGAGGCAAUGAUGCAUAGCCGACCUGAGAGGGUGAUCGGCCACAUUGGGACUGAGACACGGCCCAAACUCCUACGGGAGGCAGCAGUAGGGAAUCUUCGGCAAUGGACGAAAGUCUGACCGAGCAACGCCGCGUGAGUGAAGAAGGUUUUCGGAUCGUAAAACUCUGUUGUUAGAGAAGAACAGGAGAAGUAGUAACUGGCUUCUUUUUGACGGUAUCUAACCAGAAAGCCACGGCUAACUACGUGCCAGCAGCCGCAGUAAAAC